This 49-nucleotide small nuclear RNA is filed under the name Sinocyclocheilus rhinocerous. RNAcentral describes it as "U5 spliceosomal RNA (ENSSRHG00000044228.1)". It matches the Rfam family "U5 spliceosomal RNA", at positions 15 to 62 of the family's 117-position model. Rfam says of the family: U5 RNA is a component of both types of known spliceosome. Lineage: Eukaryota; Metazoa; Chordata; Actinopteri; Cypriniformes; Cyprinidae. The record is from Rfam by way of RNAcentral.
CUUCAUUAUCGCAUAAAUCUUUCGCCUUUUACUAAAGAUUUCCGUGGAG